AACGAACGCUGGCGGCAGGCUUAACACAUGCAAGUCGAGCGCCCCGCAAGGGGAGCGGCAGACGGGUGAGUAACGCGUGGGAAUCUACCGUGCCCUACGGAAUAGCUCCGGGAAACUGGAAUUAAUACCGUAUACGCCCUUCGGGGGAAAGAUUUAUCGGGGUAUGAUGAGCCCGCGUUGGAUUAGCUAGUUGGUGGGGUGAAGGCCUACCAAGGCGACGAUCCAUAGCUGGUCUGAGAGGAUGAUCAGCCACAUUGGGACUGAGACACGGCCCAAACUCCUACGGGAGGCAGCAGUGGGGAAUAUUGGACAAUGGGCGCAAGCCUGAUCCAGCCAUGCCGCGUGAGUGAUGAAGGCCCUAGGGUUGUAAAGCUCUUUCACCGGUGAAGAUAAUGACGGUAACCGGAGAAGAAGCCCCGGCUAACUUCGUGCCAGCCGCCGCGGUAA
This 447-nucleotide ribosomal RNA is filed under the name uncultured bacterium. RNAcentral's name for it is "partial 16S ribosomal RNA". It matches the Rfam family "Bacterial small subunit ribosomal RNA", at positions 29 to 523 of the family's 1533-position model. The record is from RNAcentral.